RNAcentral lists this transfer RNA (69 nucleotides) under Anomalurus sp. GP-2005. Its description in RNAcentral is "transfer RNA-Ala". It matches the Rfam family "tRNA". Rfam says of the family: Transfer RNA (tRNA) molecules are approximately 80 nucleotides in length. The record is from RNAcentral. Lineage: Eukaryota; Metazoa; Chordata; Mammalia; Rodentia; Anomaluridae.
GAGGAUUUAGCUUAAUUAAAGUGAUUGAUUUGCAUUCAAUAGAUGUAGGAUAGAUUCUUGCAAUCCUUA